CUAGUAACGGCGAGUGAAGCGGCAACAGCUCAAAUUUGAAAUCUGGCCUUAGGGUCCGAGUUGUAAUUUGUAGAGGAUGCUUUUGGCGCGGUGCCUUCCGAGUUCCCUGGAACGGGACGCCUUAGAGGGUGAGAGCCCCGUACGGUUGGACACCAAGCCUCUGUAAAGCUCCUUCGACGAGUCGAGUAGUUUGGGAAUGCUGCUCUAAAUGGGAGGUAAAUUUCUUCUAAAGCUAAAUAUUGGCCAGAGACCGAUAGCGCACAAGUAGAGUGAUCGAAAGAUGAAAAGCACUUUGAAAAGAGGGUUAAAUAGCACGUGAAAUUGUUGAAAGGGAAGCGUUUGCGACCAGACCUUUUCCUGGCGGAUCAUCCGGUGUUCUCACCGGUGCACUUCGCCAGGUCUAGGCCAGCAUCGGUUUCUGUAGGGGGAUAAAAGCUCUGGGAACGUAGCUCCUCCGGGAGUGUUAUAGCCCUCUGCAUAAUACCCUUGCGGGGACCGAGGACCGCG
RNAcentral lists this ribosomal RNA (507 nucleotides) under Xylariaceae sp. CO-WC-2012. Its description in RNAcentral is "eukaryotic LSU rRNA". It matches the Rfam family "Eukaryotic large subunit ribosomal RNA", at positions 80 to 597 of the family's 3401-position model. RNAcentral also lists the same sequence under 3 other names. The record is from RNAcentral. Lineage: Eukaryota; Fungi; Ascomycota; Sordariomycetes; Xylariales; Xylariaceae.